Molecule: ribosomal RNA, 649 nt
Filed under: uncultured Actinomycetes bacterium
Lineage: Bacteria; Bacillati; Actinomycetota; Actinomycetes
Description: bacterial SSU rRNA
Rfam family: Bacterial small subunit ribosomal RNA
Source: RNAcentral
AUUCGCGGCCUAUCAGCUUGUUGGUGGGGUGAUGGCCUACCAAGGCGACGACGGGUAGCCGGCCUGAGAGGGUGACCGGCCACACUGGGACUGAGACACGGCCCAGACUCCUACGGGAGGCAGCAGUGGGGAAUAUUGCGCAAUGGGCGAAAGCCUGACGCAGCGACGCCGCGUGAGGGAUGAAGGCCUUCGGGUUGUAAACCUCUUUCAGCAGGGAAGAAGCGCAAGUGACGGUACCUGCAGAAGAAGCACCGGCUAACUACGUGCCAGCAGCCGCGGUAAUACGUAGGGUGCAAGCGUUGUCCGGAAUUAUUGGGCGUAAAGAGCUCGUAGGCGGUUUGUCGCGUCUGCUGUGAAAACGCGGGGCUCAACUCCGCGCCUGCAGUGGGUACGGGCAGACUAGAGUGCAGUAGGGGAGACUGGAAUUCCUGGUGUAGCGGUGGAAUGCGCAGAUAUCAGGAGGAACACCGGUGGCGAAGGCGGGUCUCUGGGCUGUAACUGACGCUGAGGAGCGAAAGCGUGGGUAGCGAACAGGAUUAGAUACCCUGGUAGUCCACGCCGUAAACGUUGGGCGCUAGGUGUGGGCCUCAUUCCACGAGGUCCGUGCCGCAGCUAACGCAUUAAGCGCCCCGCCUGGGGAGUACGGAAU